GUUGGGUAGGGGAGCGUUCUGUAAGCCUGCGAAGGUGGCCUGUGAGGGUUGCUGGAGGUAUCAGAAGUGCGAAUGCUGACAUAAGUAACGAUAAAGCGGGUGAAAAGCCCGCUCGCCGGAAGACCAAGGGUUCCUGUCCAACGUUAAUCGGGGCAGGGUGAGUCGACCCCUAAGGCGAGGCCGAAAGGCGUAGUCGAUGGGAAACGGGUUAAUAUUCCCGUACUUGGUGUUACUGCGAAGGGGGGACGGAGAAGGCUAUGUUGGCCGGGCGACGGUUGUCCCGGUUUAAGCGUGUAGGUGUGUGUUCCAGGUAAAUCCGGUUCACUUUAACACUGAGGCGUGACGACGAGGCACUACGGUGCUGAAGCAACAAAUGCCCUGCUUCCAGGAAAAGCCUCUAAGCAUCAGGUAACAUCAAAUCGUACCCCAAACCGACACAGGUGGUCAGGUAGAGAAUACCAAGGCGCUUGAGAGAACUCGGGUGAAGGAACUAGGCAAAAUGGUGCCGUAACUUCGGGAGAAGGCACGCUGACA
Molecule: ribosomal RNA, 534 nt
Filed under: Salmonella enterica subsp. enterica serovar Infantis
Lineage: Bacteria; Pseudomonadati; Pseudomonadota; Gammaproteobacteria; Enterobacterales; Enterobacteriaceae
Also listed under: 3 other names
Description: partial 23S ribosomal RNA
Rfam family: Bacterial large subunit ribosomal RNA
Source: RNAcentral